RNAcentral lists this ribosomal RNA (429 nucleotides) under Pseudomonadota bacterium. RNAcentral describes it as "Proteobacteria bacterium partial 16S ribosomal RNA". It matches the Rfam family "Bacterial small subunit ribosomal RNA", at positions 355 to 776 of the family's 1533-position model. The record is from RNAcentral. Lineage: Bacteria; Pseudomonadati; Pseudomonadota.
UGGGGAAUAUUGGACAAUGGGCGAAAGCCUGAUCCAGCCAUGCCGCGUGUGUGAAGAAGGUCUUCGGAUUGUAAAGCACUUUAAGUUGGUAGGAAGGGCAGUAAGCGAAUACCUUGCUGUUUUGACGUUACCGACAGAAUAAGCACCGGCUAACUCUGUGCCAGCAGCCGCGGUAAUACAGAGGGUGCAAGCGUUAAUCGGAAUUACUGGUCGUAAAGCGCGCGUAGGUGGUUCGUUAAGUUGAAUGUGAAAGCCCCGGGCUCAACCUGGGAACUGCAUCCAAAACUGGCGAGCUAGAGUAGGGCAGAGGGUGGUGGAAUUUCCUGUGUAGCGGUGAAAUGCGUAGAUAUAGGAAGGAACACCAGUGGCGAAGGCGACCACCUGGGCUCAUACUGACACUGAGGUGCGAAAGCGUGGGGAGCAAACAGG